RNAcentral lists this ribosomal RNA (774 nucleotides) under uncultured Neocallimastigales. RNAcentral describes it as "partial large subunit ribosomal RNA". It matches the Rfam family "Eukaryotic large subunit ribosomal RNA", at positions 23 to 645 of the family's 3401-position model. The record is from RNAcentral. Lineage: Eukaryota; Fungi; Neocallimastigomycota; Neocallimastigomycetes; Neocallimastigales.
AGAGAGAGACAUGCGCGCAUAUCAAUAAGCGGAGGAAAAGAAACUAACUAGGAUUCCCUCAGUAACGGCGAGUGAAGCGGGAAGAGCUCAAAUUUGAAAUCUUAAAGGUUUCCCUUGACGAAUUGUAGUUUAAAGAAGUGUUUUCUGUUGGAGUUUUGGUAAAAGUUCUUUGGAAUAGGACAUCAUAGAGGGUGAGAAUCCCGUAUUUGACCAUUUACUUUCAGCUUUGUGAUACACUUUCAAAGAGUCGGAUUGUUUGGGAAUGCAGUCCAAAAUGGGUGGUAAAUUUCAUCUAAAGCUAAAUAUUGGCGAGAGACCGAUAGCGAACAAGUACCGUGAGGGAAAGAUGAAAAGAACUUUGAAAAGAGAGUUAAACAGUACGUGAAAUUGUCAAAAGGGAAGCGUUUGACACCAGUGUUGUUUUCUCGAAAAUCAAUUAAAAAAGGCAGGAUUUUGUGUUGUAUUGACUUUAUCAGCUUUCUGCACUCUUUUCUUGUCUUUUUUAAUGCACUUUUCGUUUAACAAGUCAACAUCAAUUUCUUUUGUUGUAAAAGGGUCAUUGGAAGGUGGCUUUCUUUUCGGAGAAAGUGUUUAUAGCCUUUGGCCUCUGCAAUCGGAGAGAUUGAGGUCUGCAGCGUAGAUCCUUCGGGGCUAGAUACAUUUGUGCUAAGUUAUAGCCUUUUCAUAGACAACUUGUUGACUAUGAUCAGUCAUGUAGCUUACUCGCUUAUGCUAUUUUACCUACGCUUAGGAUGUUGAUGUGAUACUGCGAGC